Molecule: non-coding RNA, 56 nt
Organism: Ovis aries (sheep)
Lineage: Eukaryota; Metazoa; Chordata; Mammalia; Artiodactyla; Bovidae
Source: Rfam
UGGCUGAGAGGUUAAAGUGUCUGCCUGCAAUGCAGGAGACCUGGGUUCGAUCCCUG